Molecule: ribosomal RNA, 790 nt
Filed under: uncultured bacterium
Lineage: Bacteria
Description: bacterial SSU rRNA
Rfam family: Bacterial small subunit ribosomal RNA
Source: RNAcentral
AGAGUUUGAUCAUGGCUCAGGAUGAACGCUAGCGGCAGUAACACAUGCAAGUCGAGGGGUAACAGGUGUAGCAAUACAUGCUGACGACCGGCGCACGGGUGAGUAUCGCGUAUGCAACCUACCUUUUACUGGAGGAUAGCCCAAGGAAACUCGGAUUAAUACUCCAUAAUUUCCUGAAUUCGCAUGUUUUCAGGAUUAAAGCUCCGGCGGUAAGAGAUGGGCAUGCGUGCCAUUAGCUGGUUGGUGAGGUAACGGCUCACCAAGGCUGCGAUGGCUAGGGGGCCUGAGAGGGUAAUCCCCCACACUGGUACUGAGACACGGACCAGACUCCUACGGGAGGCAGCAGUGAGGAAUAUUGGGCAAUGGACGAAAGUCUGACCCAGCCAUGCCGCGUGCAGGAUGAAUGCCCUAUGGGUUGUAAACUGCUUUUCUACGGGAUGAAAUUUUCCGACGUGUCGGGAUUCGACGGUACCGUAGGAAUAAGCAUCGGCUAACUCCGUGCCAGCAGCCGCGGUAAUACGGAGGAUGCAAGCGUUAUCCGGAUUUAUUGGGUUUAAAGGGUGCGUAGGCGGAAUAAUAAGUCAGUGGUGAAAUCUUGCGGCUCAACCGUAAAAUUGCCUCUGAUACUGUUAUUCUUGAGUGCAGUUGAGGUAGGCGGAAUGUGUAAUGUAGCGGUGAAAUGCAUAGAUAUUACACAGAGCACCAAUUGCGAAGGCAGCUUACUAAACUGUUACUGACGCUGAGGCACGAAAGCGUGGGGAGCAAACAGGAUUAGAUACCCUAGUAGUCC